This 1199-nucleotide long non-coding RNA is filed under the name Parus major (Great Tit). RNAcentral's name for it is "lncRNA (ENSPMJG00000008031.1)". Lineage: Eukaryota; Metazoa; Chordata; Aves; Passeriformes; Paridae. The record is from RNAcentral.
AUGGAGGAGGAGGAGGAAGAGGAGGGUCCUCGUGCUGCAGAGCGAGAUGGGACGGGCGCCAGCGAGGGACAGCGGCCAGAUGGGAGCAGAGGGACAGGAAGAAGGAGACAAAGCUGCUUUGUGCAGGGCACUCACCCCACCUCCUCCCAAGGUCCCACCCCCGGCUGGAUGCGCAGCCCCGGGAUGGCAGAGGGAGCACACGGAGCCUCUCCGAGCGCAGCCGCUGUCGGGAGGGCACCGCUGGCCCUGCCCCGCGCCGGGAGGGGUGGCAGGGCUGACCUGGCACAGGGGACACCCAGCCCUGGGCUCGUUCAGCUUUUUGUUAAGAGCUUCCAACCCACGGUGUGAUAAUGAGCCCCAGGAAUGCCCCAAAUGGUAUGGAAAAAAAUGGAAUUAUUAUUAUUACUUUUGAGCUCUUACUGUUAUUGACUAUAAAAGUUUGGGGUUAUUGAAUAUUAAAUGUUAUUGAAUAUAAAAUCUGCUCUGAAUGUGUCCCUGUGCAUGGUGGGGGGUUGGGACAAGGUGGGCUUUAAGGUCUUCCCCAACCCAAACCUUUCUGUGACUCUGUGCAAAGUGCAUUGAAACAAAAAGCAUCAAAUGUUCUGUGUGAGCCCAGGAGGGACCGGCUGUGCAGAGGUUCCUGCAGGAAAUGGUGACCCCAGCACGUCCCCAGACCCUGCUGCCACAGCUCUGCCCCUGGGGGGCUGCCCCACGUCAGAGGGUGCCACCACCUUCCCUCCACGAGCAUUCCAGUCACCCAGCUCCUUCUCUGCCUCCUCCUGCAGGGAUGUGCCAGCCCCAGGUGAUGCUGGGCUCCUACAGAUCCCUCCAUUACCUCGAUGUUAUAAAUAUUUUAAAUUAAAGCAAGAAAAGGACUCCAAACGUGUAAGGCACCAGCUGGGGCAGAGCUGUUCCCAUGGUUAACUCCAGCAGGAGCCAGAACCCUGCGAGACCAGGCCUGGGGUCCCCGGCUGCCAGCCCAGCACUGAGUGAUGUGUUUGGCUGUGGCUUUACUCUGUCCCUGCCCUUCUGCUCCCAGAGCCACAGAUGAGGUUCCUCCCCUGGGCUGAGGCCUUUGACCCUUCAGCUCUCGGCAGGGACAGACCCAGGAUGGGACAGGAGAGCUAAAGCAGCACAAACCCUGCCACAAACAGCCUCUAGAGCCAGACGGAGAAUAAACUACCCUUCACAAGGUUCCA